GAGUUUGAUCCUGGCUCAGGAUGAACGCUAGCGGCAGGCUUAACACAUGCAAGUCGAGGGGUAACAGGAGAGCUUGCUCUUGCUGACGACCGGCGCACGGGUGCGUAACGCGUAUACAAUCUACCUUAUACUGGGGAAUAGGCCAAAGAAAUUUGGAUUAAUGCCCCAUAGUAUUUUUCUAACACAUGUUAGAAUUCUUAAAGCUCCGGCGGUAUAAGAUGAGUAUGCGUGAUAUUAGCUAGUUGGUGAGGUAACUGCUCACCAAGGCUACGAUAUCUAGGGGGUCUGAGAGGACUAUCCCCCACACUGGUACUGAGACACGGACCAGACUCCUACGGGAGGCAGCAGUGAGGAAUAUUGGGCAAUGGAGGCAACUCUGACCCAGCCAUGCCGCGUGAAGGAAGAAGGUCUUAUGGAUUGUAAACUUCUUUUAUUUGGGAAGAAACCCAAGGACGUGUCCUUGGCUGACGGUACCGUAAGAAUAAGCACCGGCUAACUCCGUGCCAGCAGCCGCGGUAAUACGGAGGGUGCAGGCGUUAUCCGGAUUUAUUGGGUUUAAAGGGUGCGCAGGCGGGCUAUUAAGUCAGCGGUGAAAUCCUACAGCUCAACUGUAGAACUGCCAUUGAUACUGUAGGUCUUGAGUCUAGUUGAGGUAGGCGGAAUGUGUCAUGUAGCGGUGAAAUGCUUAGAUAUGACACAGAACACCGAUUGCGAAGGCAGCUUACUAAACCAAUACUGACGCUGAGGCACGAAAGCGUGGGGAGCGAACAGGAUUAGAUACCCUGGUAGUCCACGCCGUAAACGAUGAAUACUCGCUGUUAGCAAUACACAGUUAGCGGCUAAGCGAAAGCAUUAAGUAUUCCACCUGGGGAGUACGAUCGCAAGAUUGAAACUCAAAGGAAUUGACGGGGGCCCGCACAAGCGGAGGAACAUGUGGUUUAAUUCGAUGAUACGCGAGGAACCUUACCUGGGCUUAAAUGCAGUACGACGUUCACCGAAAGGUGUUCUCCCUUCGGGGCGGACUGCAAGGUGCUGCAUGGUUGUCGUCAGCUCGUGCCGUGAGGUGUCGGGUUAAGUCCCAUAACGAGCGCAACCCCUAUUGUUAGUUGCCAGCGGAUAAUGCCGGGGACUCUAACGAGACUGCCACCGUAAGGUGUGAGGAAGGUGGGGAUGACGUCAAAUCAGCACGGCCCUUAUGUCCAGGGCUACACACGUGUUACAAUGGCCGAUACAAAGGGCAGCUACCAGGUGACUGGAUGCUAAUCUCUAAAGUCGGUCUCAGUUCGGAUCGAAGUCUGCAACUCGACUUCGUGAAGCUGGAUUGGCUAGUAAUCGCGCAUCAGCCACGGCGCGGUGAAUACGUUCCCGGGCCUUGUACACACCGCCCGUCAAGCCAUGGAAGCUGGGGGUACCUGAAGUUCGUAACCGUAAGGAGCGGCCUAGGGUAAAUCUAGUGACUGGGGUUAAGUCGUAACAAGGUAGCCGUACCGGGAGGUGCGGCUGGAUCACCUCCCU
This 1515-nucleotide ribosomal RNA is filed under the name uncultured prokaryote. RNAcentral describes it as "partial 16S ribosomal RNA". It matches the Rfam family "Bacterial small subunit ribosomal RNA". The record is from RNAcentral.